AGAGUUUGAUCCUGGCUCAGGAUGAACGCUGGCGGCGUGCCUAACACAUGCAAGUCGAGCGAUCUCUUCGGAGAGAGCGGCGGACGGGUGAGUAACGCGUGGGUAACCUGCCCUGUACACACGGAUAACAUACCGAAAGGUAUACUAAUACGGGAUAACAUAUAAAAGUCGCAUGGCUUUUGUAUCAAAGCUCCGGCGGUACAGGAUGGACCCGCGUCUGAUUAGCUAGUUGGUAAGGUAAUGGCUUACCAAGGCAACGAUCAGUAGCCGACCUGAGAGGGUGAUCGGCCACACUGGAACUGAGACACGGUCCAGACUCCUACGGGAGGCAGCAGUGGGGAAUAUUGCACAAUGGGCGAAAGCCUGAUGCAGCAACGCCGCGUGAGCGAUGAAGGCCUUCGGGUCGUAAAGCUCUGUCCUCAAGGAAGAUAAUGACGGUACUUGAGGAGGAAGCCCCGGCUAACUACGUGCCAGCAGCCGCGGUAAUACGUAGGGGGCUAGCGUUAUCCGGAAUUACUGGGCGUAAAGGGUGCGUAGGUGGUUUUUUAAGUCAGAAGUGAAAGGCUACGGCUCAACCGUAGUAAGCUUUUGAAACUAGAGAACUUGAGUGCAGGAGAGGAGAGUAGAAUUCCUAGUGUAGCGGUGAAAUGCGUAGAUAUUAGGAGGAAUACCAGUAGCGAAGGCGGCUCUCUGGACUGUAACUGACACUGAGGCACGAAAGCGUGGGGAGCAAACAGGAUUAGAUACCCUGGUAGUCCACGCCGUAAACGAUGAGUACUAGGUGUCGGGG
RNAcentral lists this ribosomal RNA (790 nucleotides) under uncultured bacterium. Its description in RNAcentral is "bacterial SSU rRNA". It matches the Rfam family "Bacterial small subunit ribosomal RNA", at positions 8 to 828 of the family's 1533-position model. The record is from RNAcentral.